AUUCUAUGAUGAGGACAAUUCCAUAAUAAUUCUUUGUACCUUUCCCAUGCCUCAUACAAUGAUUCAUCAUCCAUUUGUUGUAAAAUGUGAUCUAGUUCCUCAACUU
Molecule: small nucleolar RNA, 106 nt
Organism: Gossypium raimondii (Peruvian cotton)
Lineage: Eukaryota; Viridiplantae; Streptophyta; Magnoliopsida; Malvales; Malvaceae
Source: RefSeq, a predicted model, not a curated record